GUGGGGAAUCUUCCGCAAUGGACGAAAGUCUGACGGAGCAACGCCGCGUGAGUGAUGAAGGUCUUCGGAUUGUAAAGCUCUGUUAAUCGGGACGAAAGAGCCUAGUGUGAAUAAUGCUAGGAAGUGACGGUACCGGAAUAGAAAGCCACGGCUAACUACGUGCCAGCAGCCGCGGUAAUACGUAGGUGGCAAGCGUUGUCCGGAAUUAUUGGGCGUAAAGCGCGCGCAAGCGGAUCUGCCAGUCUGUCUUAAAAGUUCGGGGCUUAACCCCGUGAUGGGAUGGAAACUACAGAUCUAGAGUAUCGGAGAGGAAAGUGGAAUUCCUAGUGUAGCGGUGAAAUGCGUAGAUAUUAGGAAGAACACCAGUGGCGAAGGCGACUUUCUGGACGAAAACUGACGCUGAGGCGCGAAAGCCAGGGGAGCGAACGGGAUUAGAAACCCCAGUAGUCC
This 450-nucleotide ribosomal RNA is filed under the name uncultured bacterium. Its description in RNAcentral is "partial 16S ribosomal RNA". It matches the Rfam family "Bacterial small subunit ribosomal RNA", at positions 354 to 796 of the family's 1533-position model. The record is from RNAcentral.